CCCCCACCCAUAUGUGUGGGACUUCAAAGGAUCACCAUUAAAGUUGGCACGGAUCUCUAUAAAACUUAUCACAUAGAUGUGGGACUUGACUUUUCUAUAGAUCCGUGCCAAAUUUAAUGGUGAUCCUUUGGAGUCCCACACACAUGGGGUGGGGG
Molecule: microRNA precursor, 155 nt
Filed under: Amborella trichopoda
Lineage: Eukaryota; Viridiplantae; Streptophyta; Magnoliopsida; Amborellales; Amborellaceae
Description: MIR8565 microRNA precursor family
Rfam family: MIR8565 microRNA precursor family
Source: Rfam by way of RNAcentral